UGGUGUCACGUGGUUUUACUCAUGAAAAACAUUGCAGUUACUCAAGGAAGAAAAUUCAGUUUUGUCAAACUUCCUUCCAUUCGAAAUAUUUCCACCACUCGUCGUUAUAGAACGAGAUAGUCGCAGGUGAUCACAUGAAAACCCGCAGUAAUCGGGUUCACCUUCGUACGUGUUCGCGUUUCAAAUUUGCUGAUUUAGCGUUUGAAUUAUUUAUUCGGAGGGAAAUAAGCAAGGAGAGUUCUUUGGCUCGCUUCGAAUUCGGGGGUAAUCGGCAGAAGCGAGCUCAACACUCUCCUCGUGAUCCGUCAAAUGAUCUGGGAAAAAAGGGCAAUAACACGAAAAUGAAAUUCUCCCAGUCAAGGAUCACACGCUUCAGGGGUGGAUGGUGGCUUAAUUCUGAGAGCAUAUUGGACAUUAUUAAUCCAUCCGAAGGGAUGGGGCGAAAGAUUUAUAGGACUCGGCUAUUUCAGACUGAUAAGACUUGGACGUCAGGUUGCGCAAGGUUAUAAAACGCGCUCAGGAACGUCGUAACGAGAGUUUCAAGUGCGAGAGGCCUCUCCUCAACUUCCGCCAAGCUUUGGGUAGUCUAAUUAACCAACGAAGGGAAAGAGCACGAGGCAGAGAGAGAGAGAGAGAGAGAGAGAGAGAGAGAGAGAGCGAGAGAAGGGAGAAAGCACAAAGUGGAGAGACGACGUGGCCACGAAAACGGAAAAGGGGUUUAAAGGCUUCACCAACGUAGACACCCCAGCACACACACACACACACACACACACGAGAACACUCACCUUUAUCCCGAAAAUUAAGUGAGCCUGGCCCCAGAGCCAACAACUAACCUCGAUAGCCCGCAACGUGUAUACACAGUUAUACAUUUUAGUGUGAAAUAUAUUUACAAAAUAUUAAAUCCCAGAGGAGCUUUCAACUUGUACAAAUGACACGAAACUCGUCCGGUUCGUGUUGAUGAGGAAACGAGCUGCAAAGCCUCGAUCGAAUCGCACUCUACUCCUCUACACAUUAACGUGCCAAAGUGUGUCUGUAUAUCGAUGAUUAAGAGGGGAAUCGAGGUGAAAAAAGUUUGGCAGCUUCUCGCGUCCGCAGUCGAGCCACUAUGCGGCAAACUGUUCGGGGAUGUUUAUUAGAAUUGGGGCCAGCAACAUCUUCGAGGAAUCUUCCAAUUUUUCCUUGGCACGUGAGCGAAAAAAAGGAUUUUUUCCAUAUUUUUAGAGCUUUUAAUGGAUCGUAGCCGCUCCCCUGCGGUGUACACCUGCUGAAGUAGCUUUUUACGGUGCACGACAGUUCACUUGCAUCCACUCACAGGAAACUACUGUUUCGAGUAGUUUUUUGUUUACCUUCGUACCGAGGCUCUUCAAAGGGCAGUUUUUUCGCCACAGUUGAAACUAAUUCCGGGGAAAUCAGAAGCCCAAGCGUUCCCAAAACACACAGGGAAUUGCACAGAGAGGCAAAGAAAGGGGAGAAAAGAGAGUGAAGGGCCUUAAUUAUAUAACGUGUUUCAAGCAACACCAGUCGCAACCGUGGCUAAAGCUGCUUCUCCGCUACUCUCGGCACACCGAGACGCUCCUCACUCCCCGGCGCGGCUGCAUCAGCAAAGGGGUAAACCUUGCGAGAUUCUCCUAUAAUAUAUGGAAGGGCCUAAACACCCUGAUAGGCAUUGUAUUUUCUCUCGUAUACACCGAGAUUCUCCUUUCUCGUUUGCUAACCGGAGCAUUAAUAGUCUCGACGUAUAUUCACCUAGCGUAAUUAGCUCUGGCGACCACCAAAUUUCACGAAUUAAGACAGAAUCUGCCUCACGGAUUAUCAGACGAAAAAAAUCAACGAACACUGUUAAAAUGCGGAGUGAGCUUGACAGUUCAGUGGAUCAUGAAAAAGUCAAGAGUCCAACGGUGAGCGGAUGAGAUUCCUUGCGACUGUGUACAGCUUGCGAUUCUUCAUCAUUGUUUCCGGUGGCUUUGUCAAGUGGAAUUUGAUUUUCGAGAUUUUUGGAAAAUCCCGUGACUCCGGAAGCUGGAACUCAUCGGACCAACGUUUUCGAGGCUCGAUAUGUUUCGUGCAAAGGAAAUUUUGUGAUCCGCAGAUGAAUCUUUGAGCGGGCGUUCCCACGCAGUAAGAAUGCGACUAGUCUUUAUUUACCUCUUCGGAUUCUUAGGCCCGCAGCAUAGAGAGGGUGGAAAAAUAAAGUUUCUCCUUGAUUUCCGGCUCACCGAGAGAGUAUUUUCUCGCUCCACAAACUCGCUGUAGAAUUAAGCAGUGUUAAUCGUUAGAAGAAACAAAAGCUUCACGAUCCCUCCUAUUUUUAUGAUUAUUAUUAUUAUGAUUUUGUAUCCUUUUUUCUCUAUUUCUUUAUUUUUCGAAAGUAAAAGUUGCGUGAAAUCUUUACGAUCAAAGUAGAAUACUUUUUCGUCCGUAUUGUACGACCCUCUCGACGGUUCUUUCGCUUACCAGCCCUCCCUCCUCUCUUCGCCACCAUUCUCGUGGCCCAAUGCGCGAUUACACUCUGGUGCACUCGUAAAAGCGUGAAA
Long non-coding RNA from Venturia canescens, 2534 nucleotides. RefSeq lists it as uncharacterized. The record is from RefSeq and is a predicted model, not a curated record. Lineage: Eukaryota; Metazoa; Arthropoda; Insecta; Hymenoptera; Ichneumonidae. The transcript is spliced from 3 exons.